CCGCAAUCGCCCUUCGGGGUGCACCAGGCGCGAAAACUCUACAAUGCAGGCAACUGCGAUAGGGGAACAUCGAGUGAUCCUCAUAUUGGGGGUCUGUCCACCCGUCUAAAAAACGGGUGUUAGCAAGGGCCGGGCAAGACCGGUGCCAGCCGCCGCGGUAAUACCGGCGGCUCGAGUGGUGGCCGAUAUUAUUGAGUCUAAAGGGUCCGUAGCCGGCUUUGCAAGUCUCUCGGGAAAUCCAGCGGCUUAACCGUUGGUCGUCCGGGGGGUACUACAUUGCUUGGGACUGGGAGAGGUAGGAGGUACUCAGGGGGUAGGAGUGAAAUCCUGUAAUCCUUUGGGGACCACCGGUGGCGAAGGCGUCCUACCAGAACAGGUCCGACGGUGAGGGACGAAAGCUAGGGGCACGAACCGGAUUAGAUACCCGGGUAGUCCUAGCCGUAAACGAUGCUCGCUAGGUGUCACAACAGUCGUGAACUGUUGUGGUGCCGUAGGGAAGCCGUGAAGCGAGCCACUUGGGAAGUACGACCGCAAGGUUGAAACUUAAAGGAAUUGGCGGGGGAGCAC
Molecule: ribosomal RNA, 567 nt
Filed under: uncultured archaeon
Lineage: Archaea
Description: bacterial SSU rRNA
Rfam family: Archaeal small subunit ribosomal RNA
Source: RNAcentral